Molecule: ribosomal RNA, 403 nt
Filed under: uncultured bacterium
Lineage: Bacteria
Description: partial 16S ribosomal RNA
Rfam family: Bacterial small subunit ribosomal RNA
Source: RNAcentral
GACGAACGCUGGCGGCGUGCCUAAUACAUGCAAGUCGAACGCAGUGGGGACGGGUGAGUAACACGUGGGUAACCUCCCAUCAGAGGGGAUAACACUUGGAAACAGGUGCUAAACCGAUACUGAUGGAUGGACUCGGGGUGGAUGAGCUAGAUGGUGGGGUAACGGCUCACCAAGGCGACGAUGCAGAGACGGCCUGAGAGGGUGAUCGGCCACACUGGGACUGAGACACGGCCCAGACUCCUACGGGAGGCAGCAGUGGGGAAUCUUCGACAAUGGACGAAAGUCUGACCGAGCAACGCCGCGUGAGUGAAGAAGGUUUUCGGGUCGUAAAACUCUUUUGUUAGAGAGGCGGUAUCUGACCAGAAAGCCACGGCUAACUACGUGCCAGCAGCCGCGGUAAUAC